Molecule: ribosomal RNA, 506 nt
Filed under: uncultured bacterium
Lineage: Bacteria
Description: partial 16S ribosomal RNA
Rfam family: Bacterial small subunit ribosomal RNA
Source: RNAcentral
AGUGAACGCUGGCGGUAGGCCUAACACAUGCAAGUCGAACGGCAGCACAGGAGAGCUUGCUCUCUGGGUGGCGAGUGGCGGACGGGUGAGGAAUACAUCGGAAUCUACUCUGUCGUGGGGGAUAACGUAGGGAAACUUACGCUAAUACCGCAUACGACCUACGGGUGAAAGCAGGGGACCUUCGGGCCUUGCGCGAUUGAAUGAGCCGAUGUCGGAUUAGCUAGUUGGCGGGGGAAAGGCACACCAAGGCGACGAUCCGUAGCUGGUCUGAGAGGAUGAUCAGCCACACUGGAACUGAGACACGGUCCAGACUCCUACGGGAGGCAGCAGUGGGGAAUAUUGGACAAUGGGCGCAAGCCUGAUCCAGCCAUACCGCGUGGGUGAAGAAGGCCUUCGGGUUGUAAAGCCCUUUUGUUGGGAAAGAAAUCCAGCUGGCUAAUACCCGGUUGGGAUGACGGUACCCAAAGAAUAAGCACCGGCUAACUUCGUGCCAGCAGCCGCGGUAA